This 253-nucleotide ribosomal RNA is filed under the name uncultured bacterium. RNAcentral describes it as "partial 16S ribosomal RNA". It matches the Rfam family "Bacterial small subunit ribosomal RNA", at positions 524 to 776 of the family's 1533-position model. The record is from RNAcentral.
UACGGAGGGUCCAAGCGUUAUCCGGAAUCAUUGGGUUUAAAGGGUCCGUAGGCGGUUUUGUAAGUCAGUGGUGAAAGCCCAUCGCUCAACGGUGGAACGGCCAUUGAUACUGCAAGACUUGAAUUAUUAGGAAGUAACUAGAAUAUGUAGUGUAGCGGUGAAAUGCUUAGAGAUUACAUGGAAUACCAAUUGCGAAGGCAGGUUACUACCAAUAUAUUGACGCUGAGGCACGAAGGUCAGGGGAGCAAACGGG